UCCUACGGGAGGCAGCAGUGGGGAAUAUUGCACAAUGGGCGCAAGCCUGAUGCAGCAACGCCGCGUGAGGGACGAAGGCCUUCGGGUUGUAAACCUCUUUUAGUAGGGAAGAAGCGACUGGGUUUUCCUGGGAGUGACGGUACCUGCAGAAAAAGCACCGGCUAACUACGUGCCAGCAGCCGCGGUAAUACGUAGGGUGCAAGCGUUGUCCGGAAUUAUUGGGCGUAAAGAGCUCGUAGGCGGUUUGUCGCGUCUGCUGUGAAAACCCGAGGCUCAACCUCGGGCCUGCAGUGGGUACGGGCAGACUAGAGUGCGGUAGGGGAGAUUGGAAUUCCUGGUGUAGCGGUGGAAUGCGCAGAUAUCAGGAGGAACACCAAUGGCGAAGGCAGAUCUCUGGGCCGUAACUGACGCUGAGGAGCGAAAGCAUGGGGAGCGAACAGGAUUAGAUACCCUGGUAGUCCAUGCCGUAAACGUUGGGAACUAGAUGUGGGGACCAUUCCACGGUCUCCGUGUCGCAGCUAACGCAUUAAGUUCCCCGCCUGGGGAGUACGGCCGCAAGGCUAAAACUCAAAGGAAUUGACGGGGGCCCGCACAAGCGGCGGAGCAUGCGGAUUAAUUCGAUGCAACGCGAAGAACCUUACCAAGGCUUGACAUAUACCGGAAACGGCUGGAAACAGUCGCCCCGCAAGGUCGGUAUACAGGUGGUGCAUGGUUGUUGUCAGCUCGUGUCGUGAGAUGUUGGGUUAAGUCCCGCAACGAGCGCAACCCUCGUCCUAUGUUGCCAGCACGUAAUGGUGGGAACUCAUGGGAUACUGCCGGGGUCAACUCGGAGGAAGGUGGGGAUGACGUCAAAUCAUCAUGCCCCUUAUGUCUUGGGCUUCACGCAUGCUACAAUGGCCGGUACAAAGGGCUGCGAUACCGCAAGGUGGAGCGAAUCCCAAAAAGCCGGUCUCAGUUCGGAUUGAGGUCUGCAACUCGACCUCAUGAAGUCGGAGUCGCUAGUAAUCGCAGAUCAGCAACGCUGCGGUG
Molecule: ribosomal RNA, 1029 nt
Filed under: uncultured Cryobacterium sp.
Lineage: Bacteria; Bacillati; Actinomycetota; Actinomycetes; Micrococcales; Microbacteriaceae
Description: bacterial SSU rRNA
Rfam family: Bacterial small subunit ribosomal RNA
Source: RNAcentral